UAAUACGUAGGGCGCGAGCGUUGUCCGGAAUUAUUGGGCGUAAAGAGCUCGUAGGCGGCUUGUCGCGUCUGCUGUGAAAUCCCAGGGCUUAACUCUGGGCGUGCAGUGGGUACGGGCAGGCUAGAGUGCGGUAGGGGUGAUUGGAAUUCCUGGUGUAGCGGUGGAAUGCGCAGAUAUCAGGAGGAACACCGAUGGCGAAGGCAGGUCACUGGGCCGUUACUGACGCUGAGGAGCGAAAGCAUGGGGAGCGAACAGG
RNAcentral lists this ribosomal RNA (256 nucleotides) under uncultured bacterium. RNAcentral describes it as "partial 16S ribosomal RNA". It matches the Rfam family "Bacterial small subunit ribosomal RNA", at positions 521 to 776 of the family's 1533-position model. The record is from RNAcentral.